AUGCGAAAAGUAAUGCGAUUUGCAUGAAUCUGUGAGUCAUCAAGUCUUUGAACGCACCUUGCACCGUAUGAGCAAUCGUACGGUAUACCUGUUUGAGAAUCGUAAACUUCUCUUCCAACCCACUUGUGGGAUGGAGACUUGUCGGUUCUUGUACCCUUCGGGUACUCCGAUUAAAUGUAGUAGGGUUGGAUCAGGCUGGUGGCCUGGGACACUGUGUGCUAGAGACUAGCGCGGUCUAUGACUGUGAUCUGUCUUCUCACGGUGCGUCCUGGGCCAUACAAAGCUAGCCUGUCAUCCAGUCCUCAACUGUCCACAUACAUCUCUCGGGAUGUGUGUGUACAACCCCAACAUUUUGAUCUCAAAUCAGGUAAGGCUACCCGCUGAACUUAA
RNAcentral lists this unclassified non-coding RNA (390 nucleotides) under uncultured Rozellomycota. RNAcentral describes it as "uncultured Cryptomycota partial contains 5.8S ribosomal RNA, internal transcribed spacer 2, and large subunit ribosomal RNA". The stretch from base 1 to 102 matches the Rfam family "5.8S ribosomal RNA", at positions 53 to 154 of the family's 154-position model. The record is from RNAcentral. Lineage: Eukaryota; Fungi; Rozellomycota.